This 1100-nucleotide long non-coding RNA is filed under the name Homo sapiens (human). RNAcentral's name for it is "non-protein coding lnc-ALCAM-8:6". The record is from RNAcentral. Lineage: Eukaryota; Metazoa; Chordata; Mammalia; Primates; Hominidae.
AUAGAGGAAGUGUGCCAUCUGUAAUUCAAGACUGUCUUUCCUGCCCUCCUCAGUGCCUCCUUCACUGAUAUGAAGUUAAAACAAGGUACUGUGAUUGCUCACUUGAUCUUUGGUUCUUAUGAAGGUGCUUUUUUGUGUAGAUAGUUGUUAAAUUGGUGUUCCUGUGGGAGGGAUGAUAGAUAGGUCAAGUGUUCUAUGUGGCUAUCUUGCUUUGCCCUCUCCUACAAUUUCUUAUUCAUCUAUUUUCCUCUGUUAGCUCUUAUCUGCUUGAACUAACUAGAAUGAAUUUUUAGUAGUUCAUUUCUGGUGCUAUAACAACAACAACAACAACAACAACAACAACAAACAAGCAAACAAAAAACAGAAACUGGUUAGCUUAUAAAUAACAGAAAUUUAUUUCUAACAUUUACGGAGGCUGAGAAGUCCAAGAUCAAGGUGUUAGCUAAUUCAGGAUGUGGUGAGAGCCCACUUUUUGGUUCACAGAAGGUGCCUUCUCAUGGCAUCCUCACAUGGUGGAAGUGACAAAUGAGAUUUUAAAAAUCUCUUUAUAAGGGCACUAACCCCAUUAAUGAGAGCACCAUCCAUCAUCAUGACCAAAUUACCUCUGAAAGGCCCUACCUGUUAAUACCAUCAACUUGGGGGUAUGACUUCAACAUAUAAAUUUUAGGGGACACAAACAUUCAGACUUUAGCAGAAUUCUGUUGUCUACCUACAGGUGAAAUUUGAGUUACACAAUAAUUGCUUCAUCAAGUGGUUGCCGGUAAUCAAUAUUCAAAGAAAUCUUAAUAUUUGGUUGACUAUGUGGCAAGGUCUAAUUAUCAUUAACAGAUAGGAUUUGUUUCCAUGACAACCAGUGGUAAAACAUUUAAAUUAUGUCUUGUGAUAAUGCUAGAAUGAAGUCCUAUUAAAGACAAAGCUGUCUAAACUGAGUGACUGCUGUGAUAGUCCAUUAACGGUAGUUCAAGCAUAAAAAGACUGUGUGGGUGGAAUGGCUACUUCAGACUGUACUGCAGAGCUUUGAAUGCAUCAAAAUAUGACCAGGGAACCCAGAUAUUUCUAUGAUUGCCUUAAGAUGAUGUCUUAUCUCUUAUAUCAGCAGA